RNAcentral lists this small RNA (835 nucleotides) under uncultured Helotiales. Its description in RNAcentral is "eukaryotic LSU rRNA". The stretch from base 552 to 835 matches the Rfam family "Eukaryotic large subunit ribosomal RNA", at positions 1 to 281 of the family's 3401-position model. Lineage: Eukaryota; Fungi; Ascomycota; Leotiomycetes; Helotiales. The record is from RNAcentral.
CUUGGUCAUUUAGAGGAAGUAAAAGUCGUAACAAGGUUUCCGUAGGUGAACCUGCGGAAGGAUCAUUAAAAGGUUUAUCUGGGGGUGGGUGAAACCCCCCCGGAAAACUCCACCCUUGUGUAUUAUUACUUGUUGCUUUGGUGGGCCGCGAGAUUGCCUAGCGAUUGAGUACCGGCUUCGGCUGGAGAGCGCCUGCCAGAGGACCAAACUCUGUUAUUUAUGUCGUCUGAGUACUAUUUAAUAGUUAAAACUUUCAACAACGGAUCUCUUGGUUCUGGCAUCGAUGAAGAACGCAGCGAAAUGCGAUAAGUAAUGUGAAUUGCAGAAUUCAGUGAAUCAUCGAAUCUUUGAACGCACAUUGCGCCCCUUGGUAUUCCGAGGGGCAUGCCUGUUCGAGCGUCAUUAUAACCAAUCACGCCCUGUGCGUGGACUUGGGGUUCGCGGUCUCGCGUCCCUUAAAACCAGUGGCGGUGCUGUUAGGCUCUAAGCGUAGUAAUUCUUCUCGCUACAGGGUCUUGCGGUUACUUGCCAUAACCCCAACUUUCUUAGGUUGACCUCGGAUCAGGUAGGGAUACCCGCUGAACUUAAGCAUAUCAAUAAGCGGAGGAAAAGAAACCAACAGGGAUUACCUCAGUAACGGCGAGUGAAGCGGUAACAGCUCAAAUUUGAAAUCUGGCUCUCUCAGGGUCCGAGUUGUAAUUUGUAGAAGAUGCUUUGGGUGUGGCUCCGGUCUAAGUUCCUUGGAACAGGACGUCAUAGAGGGUGAGAAUCCCGUAUGUGACUGGUGGCCUUCGCCCGUGUAAAGCUCUUUCGACGAGUCGAGUUGUUUGGGAAU